GGCGCACGGGUGCGUAACGCGUAUGCAACCUACCCACUACAGGGGCAUAACCCGCCGAAAGGCGGAAUAAUUCCCCAUAAUACAGGGAGCCCGCAUGGGCAUAUUGUUAAAGAUUUAUCGGUAGUGGAUGGGCAUGCGUACGAUUAGCUAGUUGGUAGGGUAACGGCCUACCAAGGCAACGAUCGUUAGGGGGCCUGAGAGGGUAGCCCCCCACACUGGUACUGAGACACGGACCAGACUCCUACGGGAGGCAGCAGUAGGGAAUAUUGGACAAUGGGCGCAAGCCUGAUCCAGCCAUGCCGCGUGCAGGAAGAAGGCCUUCUGGGUUGUAAACUGCUUUUGUCAGGGAAUAAAAAGCGCCUGAGGGCGAACUUGAAGGUACCUGAAGAAUAAGCCACGGCUAACUACGUGCCAGCAGCCGCGGUAAUACGUAGGUGGCGAGCGUUAUCCGGAUUUAUUGGGUUUAAAGGGUGCGUAGGUGGUUAUGUAAGUCAGCGGUUAAAUCAGGCAGCUUAACUGUCAUAAUGCCGCUGAUACUGCGUAGCUAGAGUGCAGAUGAGGUAGGCGGAAUGGAUGGUGUAGCGGUGAAAUGCUUAGAUAUCAUCCAGAACACCGAUUGCGAAUGCAGCUUACUGGGCUGUUACUGACACUGAGGCACGAAAGUAUGGGGAUCAAACAGGAUUAGAUACCCUGGUAGUCCAUACAGUAAACGAUGUGCACUUGCUGUUGGCGAUACACUGCCGGCGGCUUAGCGAAAGCGUAAGUGUACCACCUG
RNAcentral lists this ribosomal RNA (775 nucleotides) under uncultured bacterium. RNAcentral's name for it is "bacterial SSU rRNA". It matches the Rfam family "Bacterial small subunit ribosomal RNA", at positions 97 to 875 of the family's 1533-position model. The record is from RNAcentral.